Molecule: ribosomal RNA, 525 nt
Filed under: Triticum aestivum (bread wheat)
Lineage: Eukaryota; Viridiplantae; Streptophyta; Magnoliopsida; Poales; Poaceae
Description: partial small subunit ribosomal RNA
Source: RNAcentral
AUGGGGGCACCGCAUGUUCUUUCAUUGGUUAAGUCCGUGAUCGCGGCCAAACCUAUUCAUCACUUCAUGGUCACGGAGGCUCCAGCGUGGGUGUUUGAAGAGAUUGAUCAAUGGAUGCGUUCUUUCUUCUGGGCUGGCAAAGACAAAGUGAAUGGCGGCCAGUGCCUGGUUGCUUGGAACUCGGUUUGCAAACCCACAUGGCUAGGUGGAUUGGGAGUUCAUAACCUUCAGUUGCAAGGCUUGGCCCUGAGAGUCGGGUGGGAGUGGUUGAGGCGGACGGACCCAGAGAGGUCGUGGCAAGGACUACCCAUGGUUGUGGACAGAGAGGCACGUGCGGUCUUCGACAGUUUGGUGCACAUUUCGGUAGGGGUGGGCAACAAAGUUCUAUUUUGGAGAGAUAGGUGGGUUCAUGGCUUCGCGGUCAAGGAUAUUGCGCCUUACAUUCAUGCAUUGGUGGACACGCGAACGAUCAACCGCCACACUGUCGAGGAAGGAUUAGAGGACGGACGGGAGAUGGCUGCUUGA